RNAcentral lists this ribosomal RNA (447 nucleotides) under uncultured bacterium. RNAcentral's name for it is "bacterial SSU rRNA". It matches the Rfam family "Bacterial small subunit ribosomal RNA", at positions 329 to 792 of the family's 1533-position model. The record is from RNAcentral.
UGCCAGACUCCUACGGGAGGCAGCAGUCGGGAAUAUUGCACAAUGGAGGAAACUCUGAUGCAGUGACACCGCGUAUAGGAAGAAGGUUUUCGGAUUGUAAACUAUUUUAGACAGGGAAGAAAAAAGACAGUACCUGUAGAAUAAGCUCCGGCUAACUACGUGCCAGCAGCCGCGGUAAUACGUAGGGAGCAAGCGUUAUCCGGAUUUACUGGGUGUAAAGGGCGUGUAGGCGGGACUGCAAGUCAGAUGUGAAAACCAUGGGCUCAACCUGUGGCCUGCAUUUGAAACUGUAGUUCUUGAGUACUGGAGAGGCAGACGGAAUUCCUAGUGUAGCGGUGAAAUGCGUAGAUAUUAGGAGGAACACCAGUGGCGAAGGCGGUCUGCUGGACAGCAACUGACGCUGAGGCGCGAAAGCAUGGGGAGCAAACAGGAUUAGAUACCCCUGUA